AGACGUAGGGGGCGAGCGUUGUCCGGAAUUACUGGGCGUAAAGGGCGUGUAGGCGGCCUUUCAAGUCGGCUGUGAAAUACCCCGGCUCAACCGGGGGGGUGCAGUCGAAACUGGGGGGCUUGAGUGCAGGAGAGGAGGGUGGAAUUCCCGGUGGAGCGGUGAUAUGCGUAGAUAUCGGGAGGAACACCGGUGGCGAAGGCGACCUUCUGGCCUGUUACUGACGCUGAGGCGCGAAAGCCGGGGGAGCAAACAGGAUUAGAUACCCUGGUAGUCCCGGCCGUAAACGCUGGGUACUAGGUGUAGGGGGCUUUGAUGCCUUCUGUGCCGUAGUUAACGCAUUAAGUACCCCGCCUGGGGAGUACGUGCGCAAGCAUGAA
Molecule: ribosomal RNA, 377 nt
Filed under: uncultured bacterium
Lineage: Bacteria
Description: partial 16S ribosomal RNA
Rfam family: Bacterial small subunit ribosomal RNA
Source: RNAcentral